RNAcentral lists this small RNA (645 nucleotides) under Pan troglodytes (chimpanzee). RNAcentral describes it as "retained intron". Lineage: Eukaryota; Metazoa; Chordata; Mammalia; Primates; Hominidae. The record is from RNAcentral.
GCCGGCGGGGCGCGCGGCGGUGCGGGCGGGUGACUGGCGGCGGGCGCCGCGGUCGGGCUGGCUGCCGGGCAGCAUGGAGGAGCUGAGCAGCGUGGGCGAGCAGGUCUUCGCCGCCGAGUGCAUCCUGAGCAAGCGGCUCCGCAAGGUGCGUGCGGCCCGCCGGGCCCCCCGCCCGCCGCCCGCUGCCCGUCUGGCUCACGGCCCCUCUUCUCUCCCCGCAGGGCAAGCUGGAGUACCUGGUCAAGUGGCGCGGCUGGUCCUCCAAACAUAACAGCUGGGAGCCGGAGGAGAACAUCCUGGACCCGAGGCUGCUCCUGGCCUUCCAGAAGAAGUGAGGACGCUGACAGCACUGUGGGGAGGGUGUGGGGGAGGGACGGUGGCUGGUUGGAGUCGUGCUGGGCGCUGCUCGCCUGCCGGGAGGCUGGAGCUGGGGCUGUGGUCUGAGGUCCCUUAGCAAGAUUGUGUCCAGGGCCAUCUCUGUGGCUGGCUGUAAAAGUCCCCAGCCAGCCCCUCUCCCACCUUCUCCUAGCCAGCCUGUAUCCAUCCCUGAGAAGACCCCAAGUAAGUGCUGCUUUGAUGUUUCCAACAGCCAUACUUGCAAAAACCAACUUUUUCAGUUGCUUCAGAUAAAGAUGUUAUAGCUUC